AGCGCAGCCUGUGACCCCAGCGCAGCCUGUGGCCUCAAAGAGGGGUUUUCUCCACAUGGUGCUUGUGUUAAUUGGACUGUUCUUCCUGACCCUGACCCUGCUGACCUUUGCCCUCUCUGGCCUGAACCCCAAAGUGACAAACACGGCUCGUGUGAACCUCUGCAUCAGUCUGCUGCUGUCUCACCUCCUCGUCCUGCUCGUCCAGGAGUUCAUCCACCUCAUCCGCCCUCACAAGGUGUUGUGUAAAGGUCUGUCCAGCCUCCAGAACUUCCUGUUCCUGUGCGGCUUCUUCUGGGUGCACAUGGACACGCUGCUCCUCUUCGUCUCUGUC
Clupea harengus (Atlantic herring) is the source of this 331-nucleotide long non-coding RNA. The record is from Ensembl. NCBI's taxonomy places the organism in Eukaryota, Metazoa, Chordata, Actinopteri, Clupeiformes, Clupeidae.